GCUUGUCUCAAAGAUUAAGCCAUGCAUGUCUAAGUAUAAAUCUUUUACUUUGAAACUGCGAACGGCUCAUUAUAUCAGUUAUAGUUUAUUUGAUAGUCCCUUACUACUUGGAUAACCGUAGUAAUUCUAGAGCUAAUACAUGCGUCAAUACCCUUCUGGGGUAGUAUUUAUUAGAUUGAAACCAAUGCGGGUUCUGCCCGGUUUUGUGUUGAAUCAUAGUAACUUUUCGAAUCGCAUGGCUUCACGCCGGCGAUAGUUCAUUCAAAUUUCUGCCCUAUCAGCUUUCGACGGUAGUGUAGUGGACUACCGUGGCGUUAACGGGUAACGGAGAAUUAGGGUUCGAUUCCGGAGAGGGAGCCUGAGAAACGGCUACCACAUCUAAGGAAGGCAGCAGG
This 395-nucleotide ribosomal RNA is filed under the name uncultured Fragilaria. RNAcentral's name for it is "partial small subunit ribosomal RNA". It matches the Rfam family "Eukaryotic small subunit ribosomal RNA", at positions 30 to 432 of the family's 1831-position model. The record is from RNAcentral. Lineage: Eukaryota; Bacillariophyta; Fragilariophyceae; Fragilariales; Fragilariaceae.